AAAAAACUUGAGAGGGAGCUCCAAGAAGAUGACACAGCUCAAAAUAAAAAUUAGCAAUCAGUACAACCAAGUCAUCGUUAUAAGGCACCGGCCUCUUUUGCCCACCCCCCCAGCACCAGGUGUGGCCACUAGCCUAUAUGAAGGCCCAAAAUUGUGUGUUCCUUUCUGCUCUGACAAUGGCAUGCCCAUUCUUGCGAGAUGUGGUGGAUGAAGAAGCACUUGUGCUGAGGAGAGCCUUCAGGCGAGAAAGGGUCUUCAGGGACCGGUUGGACCCACUGGCCUUCCCUGAUGACCAUCUAUAUGAAAGAACAGGUUUUCUGCA
Molecule: long non-coding RNA, 322 nt
Organism: Carassius carassius (crucian carp)
Lineage: Eukaryota; Metazoa; Chordata; Actinopteri; Cypriniformes; Cyprinidae
Exons: 3
Source: RefSeq, a predicted model, not a curated record